AUGACAAAUGCCUACAUUGUCUGUUCAAGAGAAGGGACCCACAAGCAGACUGUGUCAGAUUAUCACUGGAAAUGUUAGAAGACAUCAAAAAGGAUUGGCUGCAAGGCAAAGAUUAGAGUCAAAAAAGGAGAUGGAAAAUUUGUGAUAGAGAUGGUUGAACUCAACCACAAUCACAAGAUGCUGGAAAGCCCCGGGAUGCUUUUGCACAUGCGAUCGCACAAAAAAGACGAUCCUUUGAUAGACCAGUUAGUGAAAGACAUGCAAUUGGACAACCACACACAUGCUCAGAUGAUGUCAACGAUGUCGCGUAUGUCUGGUGGUCUGCAGUACAUGGGACAUGCUAGCUGCGACUGGGUAAACAAGUAAGCAUGUCACAGAGCAUAUCACUUGAGCAUUUUGUCAAGAAAACUUCUGGAUUUCUUCGAGAAGAUGCAGAAGAUAAACCCAGAGUUCUUCUAUGAUUAUGACGCGAACGAAAGUUGCAAAGGAUCGUAUAAAGAGUUUGGAGAUUGCGUUACAUUUGACACGACGUAUAAAACUAACAAAGUCCACAUGCCGCUGGGAGUCUUCGUGGGAGUGAACCAUCAUCUACAGAGCACCAUAUUUGUUGUUGCCCUCGUGUGAGAUGAAACAAUACUAUCAUUCGAGUGGGUUUUCAAAACAUUUCUGAGGUGUAUGAACAACAAGCCGCCAAUCUGCAUGCUCACAGACCAGUGUUCUUCGAUGAAGGCAGCAUUAAAAACUAUCCUCCCACAUACUCUGCAUAAGUUGUGUCGGUGGCAUAUCAUGAAGAAGUACAAAGACCACCUCGCCUUGCUGUAUAAGGCGCACGAGAAACUCAAGGAUGACCUCAAUGCGGUGCUGAACCACCCACUAAUGCUGUCAGAAUUUGAACGAGCAUGGAAGGACCUCAUUCAGAGAUACAACUUGCAAGACGACGAAGUGAUGAAUUCGCUGUGGGAUGACAGGCACGAGUGGAUCUCGGCUUACUACAAGGAAUUUUUUUGUGCUCGGAUGACUUCCACACAGAGAAGUGAGAGCAUGAACCGCAUACUGAAGAAAUUUUUUGUCAAAGAGAAGCAUGAUCUCCAUCAGUUUGCUUAG
Molecule: ribosomal RNA, 1104 nt
Filed under: Triticum aestivum (bread wheat)
Lineage: Eukaryota; Viridiplantae; Streptophyta; Magnoliopsida; Poales; Poaceae
Description: partial small subunit ribosomal RNA
Source: RNAcentral